This 362-nucleotide ribosomal RNA is filed under the name uncultured bacterium. Its description in RNAcentral is "partial 16S ribosomal RNA". The record is from RNAcentral.
AGAGUUUGAUCCUGGCUCAGUAAGACAGUAGGCUGCUUUCCAUUCUCCGGAAGCCAGUUUGGGAACAUACUUUUGCUUUUGUGCUUCAUUUCCAUAAUAGAGUAUGGGUAAGGUUCCAAUGCCGGUGUGUGCCGCAAAGGAAACUGCAAAGGAAUGUCCUGCACCCAAUACUUCAGUUACCAGCAUUCCGGUAACGAAAUCCUUUUCAAAACCACCGUAUUGUUCAGGGACGUUCAUUCCCAUUAAUCCAAGUUCAGAGGCUUUGUUCAUGAUGGAAACAGUAAGACCUUCUUCCAUGGCAUCAAUGCGAUCCAGGUUGGGAAAUACUUCCUGAGCCAGGAUCAAACUCUAAGGGCGAAUUC